CACGUAGGUGGCGUGGUAAGUCAAAGGUGAAAGCCCUCGGCUCAGCCGAGGAACUGCCUUUGAAACUGCUCUGCUUGAGUCCGGGAGGGGGGAGCGGAAUUCCCAGUGUAGCGGUGAAAUGCGUAGAUACUGGGAGGAACACCGGUGGCGAAGGCGGCUCCCUGGACCGGUACUGACACUGAGGUGCGAAAGCGUGGGUAGCAAACA
This 207-nucleotide ribosomal RNA is filed under the name uncultured bacterium. RNAcentral's name for it is "partial 16S ribosomal RNA". It matches the Rfam family "Bacterial small subunit ribosomal RNA", at positions 568 to 774 of the family's 1533-position model. The record is from RNAcentral.